Molecule: ribosomal RNA, 496 nt
Filed under: uncultured bacterium
Lineage: Bacteria
Description: partial 16S ribosomal RNA
Rfam family: Bacterial small subunit ribosomal RNA
Source: RNAcentral
GAUGAACGCUGGCGGCGUGCCUAAUACAUGCAAGUCGAGCGAACGGACGAGAAGCUUGCUUUUCUGAUGUUAGCGGCGGACGGGUGAGUAACACGUGGAUAACCUACCUAUAAGACUGGGAUAACUUCGGGAAACCGGAGCUAAUACCGGAUAAUAUUUUGAACCGCAUGGUUCAAAAGUGAAAGACGGUCUUGCUGUCACUUAUAGAUGGAUCCGCGCUGCAUUAGCUAGUUGGUAAGGUAACGGCUUACCAAGGCAACGAUGCAUAGCCGACCUGAGAGGGUGAUCGGCCACACUGGAACUGAGACACGGUCCAGACGCCUACGGGAGGCAGCAGUAGGGAAUCUUCCGCAAUGGGCGAAAGCCUGACGGAGCAACGCCGCGUGAGUGAUGAAGGUCUUCGGAUCGUAAAACUCUGUUAUUAGGGAAGAACAUAUGUGUAAGUAACUGUGCACAUCUGGACGGUACCUAAUCAGAAAGCCACGGCUAACUACGU